UACGGAGGGUGCAAGCGUUAUCCGGAUUUACUGGGUUUAAAGGGUGCGCAGGCGGAUAUGUAAGUCAGUGGUGAAAUCUCCGGGCUUAACCCGGAAACUGCCGUUGAUACUAUAUAUCUUGAAUGCUGUGGAGGUAAGCAGAAUAUGUCAUGUAGCGGUGAAAUGCUUAGAUAUGACAUAGAACACCAAUUGCGAAGGCAGCUUACUACACAGUUAUUGACGCUGAGGCACGAAAGCGUGGGGAUCAAACAGG
This 253-nucleotide ribosomal RNA is filed under the name uncultured bacterium. Its description in RNAcentral is "partial 16S ribosomal RNA". It matches the Rfam family "Bacterial small subunit ribosomal RNA", at positions 524 to 776 of the family's 1533-position model. The record is from RNAcentral.